UUAUAUUUCAAAAUUGAAUGAGAAUGAUAAUGAAUACAUAAGAAUAUACAAUCUCGAACAGACAAAAACCCACUGAUCCAUAAGCUAAUUAAAUCACAAAAUAAAUUAUCUUCCCAUCAUCAGAUCCAACCGAGAUCUCUAGCUCAAGCAAUUGGCGAUCCUAUCCACAGUAUUCAGUUGUACAUAAGCUCCUAUCCACAUUAUCCAGUUGUACAUACGCUCUAGUAAAAUCAGAUCCUCGUUCUACUUGCACAGUUGGCUUAGCUCCAUAACUAAAGAUCAAGCACAACCUUCCUAAAACCACAAAACAGGAAGUACCAAAUAGUAAUAAAGUAGUAAAGCAGUAAGGGAUUUAAAAGAUACAUUAAAAAAUUGUGACAUAAAGUUAGCAAAAUAAGGAAGAUGAUGGGGAGAGAGAGAGAAAGCGAGGUUGAACAAUAUCUGGAACUGACGGUUGUCGAGCCGAGUUCCUACUUUAAUACCACACCUGUGGAUGAACACAGUCCAAGCAAAGGUCGAAGGUCGAGGAAUAUCAUACUGUACAUAUAUAUGAUAAGGAGAAUCAAAUCUUAAUCAGCAGAACAGUGAGAGAAGUUUCUUCAGACGAGACAAAUAGGUUGAACAUCCAGUGGCAGAGAAUCAAAAGGACGAAACUUUACUGGACACUCUGUUUAGAAUUGUCAUAUAAACACAAUUACCACAAAAAGGUAUUCAAAGCGCUUUCUUCUACAAGGAAUCUUGUUCAAACAAGGUUGAGAAAAAAAUCAAAUCAGCCGAUUACCAAACCCUGGCAAGAGAAAACACAAUCCAAACGCAAAACCCAUGAUAAUAAACCACUUGUUAAUGCAUAACCGAAAACCAUACCUAAUACCUCGCCCGAUCAAAAUCACCAAAACAAAACCAAUUCAGAAUCACAAUCAGACGGCCGGGGAAAGAUAUGCCGGCGAAUCCAUAACGAUACGAUUAUCAUACCGGCAAAAUAACCCCAAAUAAAAUCAAAUCAGGAACGGAUAAUCAUUGAAUUGAAUUGCGCAGGUUUCAUAGCGACGAUGAUACGCGACGGAUAAUCUAGAAAAACGGAGACGACAAAUAAACAAAAGCAAUAAUCAAAAACAAAACUCUAAUACUCAGAUAACCAACGAAGACGAGAGACGAAGGAAUGAGUUACGGUUUGUAGGAGGGGACGGGUAUUUAUAGAAGAGUCGG
This 1206-nucleotide long non-coding RNA is filed under the name Erythranthe guttata (spotted monkey flower). RNAcentral describes it as "long non-coding RNA (EGUT_LNC003229)". Lineage: Eukaryota; Viridiplantae; Streptophyta; Magnoliopsida; Lamiales; Phrymaceae. The record is from RNAcentral.